RNAcentral lists this unclassified non-coding RNA (337 nucleotides) under soil metagenome. Its description in RNAcentral is "partial contains 5.8S ribosomal RNA, internal transcribed spacer 2, and large subunit ribosomal RNA". The stretch from base 2 to 120 matches the Rfam family "5.8S ribosomal RNA", at positions 36 to 154 of the family's 154-position model. The record is from RNAcentral.
CAUGAAGAACGUAGCGAAAUGCGAUAAGUAGUGUGAAUUGCAGAAUUCAGUGAAUCAUCGAAUCUUUGAACGCACAUUGCGCCCCAUGGUAUUCCGUGGGGCAUGCCUGUUCGAGCGUCAUUUACCCCCUCAAGCUCCGCUUGGUGUUGGGCGUCUGUCCCGCUUCGCGCGCGGACUCGCCCCAAAGGUAUUGGCAGCGGUCGUGCCAGCUUCUCGCGCAGCACAUUGCGCUUCUCGAGGCACCGGUGGGCCCGCGUCCAUCAAGCUCACCCCCCCAGUUUGACCUCGGAUCAGGUAGGGAUACCCGCUGAACUUAAGCAUAUCAAUAAGCGGAGGA